RNAcentral lists this ribosomal RNA (495 nucleotides) under uncultured bacterium. Its description in RNAcentral is "partial 16S ribosomal RNA". It matches the Rfam family "Bacterial small subunit ribosomal RNA", at positions 28 to 507 of the family's 1533-position model. The record is from RNAcentral.
GACGAACGCUGGCGGCGUGCCUAAUACAUGCAAGUAGAACGCUGAAGGAGGAGCUUGCUCUUCUGGAUGAGUUGCGAACGGUUGAGUAACGCGUAGGUAACCUUCCUGGUAGCGGGGGAUAACUAUUGGAAACGAUAGCUAAUACCGCAUAAGAGUAGAUGUUUCAUGACAUUUACUUAAAAGUUUCAAUUUCAUCACUACCAGAUGUCCCUUCGUUGUAUUAGCUAGUUGUUGGGGUAACGGCUUACCAAGGCGACGAUACAUAGCCGACCUGAGAGGGUGAUCGGCCACACUGGGACUGAGACACGGCCCAGACUCCUACGGGAGGAAGCAGUAGGGAAUCUUAGGCAAUGGACGGAAGUCUGACCGAGCAACGCCGCGUGAGUGAAGAAGGGUGUCGGAUCGUAAAGCUAUGUUGUAAGAGAAGAACGAGUGUGAGAGUGGAAAGUUCACACUGUGAAGGUAUCUUACCAGAAAGGGACGGCUAACUACGUG